UCUUUGUGGAUAAGACUUGGUAACAGUAAGUGAGCUUUAGUUGCAUUGAUCUAACGAGUAAAGACCACCAACACCGUUAUUGUUUGAGGUGGACAUUCUCGACACAUGCCACUGAAACCUUUCUUUGAAAUCGACAACAAACUUAGAAACCACAGAAACCAGUUUCCAGAUACAGGUUUGAACAUUUAUGUUCUCACGGUUAUGCAGCAAUGAUUUAGUUAGUAGGCCUCGAUGCAGGGGAGAACAAACACAGAUCUAGUUAGGCCAUUAAUUAGCUUGUUUCUCAUGUAACAUUAUAUAUUAUAAACUCACAUUUUGUUUUGAAAGAACUUUGAUGAAAGGAUUCGACUGAUUAUUACAUUAUUCAUUAAACACAUCUGACUACAUUAUUCACUGUUUUUCUCACCACAAAUCCAUAUUCAGAUACACUACCAACACAUGUAAUAUUUGAUAAACAUAUUGCAAGCUGCUGCUCUCAUUAUAACAUCAUUCUACUGUAUAUACUCAGUAGAGAAGGCCUGUGUCGGACCACAGAGCUGUUUCUCUGCUUUUUGACCUUUAGUGGGCGCCACUCCAAUCAGUUUUUGUUAUAUCCAUCCUCUGCAGUGCUUCUGAGUCCAAGGCAAACAAAUGUGUGUGUCAUCGGUCAUGCUUGUGUGUUUGUAGUAAUUAUUUAUCUGUACCCUGUAGUUAAUAUUAUGUUACUGUCCAAUAAUUACAGUAAACUAGUUUGACAGCCAAAAUAGUGGCAUUCUACAAAGUUAAAACAUUGUUAAUUAUUAACUCUGCGACAAGGGAAACAAACGCAUUAAUGCAUAUUUUUAAUAACACCGCAGGUAGAAACAUUUCAAAUUGAUAAAAGCAGUUUUGAAGAAAUAACAAAAUCAUAA
Molecule: long non-coding RNA, 890 nt
Organism: Trematomus bernacchii (emerald rockcod)
Lineage: Eukaryota; Metazoa; Chordata; Actinopteri; Perciformes; Nototheniidae
Exons: 2
Source: RefSeq, a predicted model, not a curated record